This 497-nucleotide ribosomal RNA is filed under the name uncultured bacterium. RNAcentral describes it as "partial 16S ribosomal RNA". It matches the Rfam family "Bacterial small subunit ribosomal RNA", at positions 28 to 507 of the family's 1533-position model. The record is from RNAcentral.
GAUGAACGCUGUCGGCGUGCCUAAUACAUGCAAGUCGAGCGAACAGACGAGGAGUUUGCUCCUUUGACGUUAGCGGCGGACGGGCGAGUAACACAUGGAUAACCUACCUAUCAUACUGGGAUAACUUCGGCAAACCGGAGCUAACACCGGAUAAUAUAUUGCACCGCAUGGUUCAAUAGUGAAAGACGGUUUUGCUGGCUCUUAUAGAUGGAUCCGCGCCGCUUUCGCUACUUGGUAAGGUGACGGCUUAGCAAGGCAACGCUGCGUAGCCGACCUGAGAGGGGGGUAGGCCACCCUGGAACGGAGACGCGGUCCAGACUACUACGGGAGGGAGCAGUAGGGAAUGGUCGGCAAUGGGCGGAAGCCUGGCGGAGCAACGCCGAGUGGGUUGUGAAAGUCUUCGGAUCGUGAAACUCUGUUAUUAGGGAGGAACGAAUGUGUGAGUAACGAGGCACGUCUUGAAGGUACCUAAUCAAAAAGCCACGGCUAACUACGUG